Molecule: small nuclear RNA, 107 nt
Organism: Homo sapiens (human)
Lineage: Eukaryota; Metazoa; Chordata; Mammalia; Primates; Hominidae
Source: Ensembl
GUGCUCACUUCAGCAGCACAUAUACUAAAAUUGGAAUGAUACAGGGAAGAUUAGCAUGGCCCCUGUGCAAGGAUGAUACACAAAUUCAUGAAGCGUUCCAUAUUUUU